RNAcentral lists this unclassified non-coding RNA (245 nucleotides) under Hevea brasiliensis (rubber tree). Lineage: Eukaryota; Viridiplantae; Streptophyta; Magnoliopsida; Malpighiales; Euphorbiaceae. The record is from RNAcentral.
UGGAUCUUCAAAUGCACGUAACACAUGAAAAAUGCCAUCAACUGCACGAAUGUGAGAUAAGAAAUUGUUGCCCAAGCCUUGCCCCUGAUGGGCACCUCUAACCAGUCCAGCUAUAUCAUGGAUUUCCAAGAAAGCUGAAACCUCGCUUUUUGGCUUAUACAGUUGGCAAAGCCAUUCGAAUCUUUCAUCAGGGAUAUAAACCCGUGCUUCAUUAGGCUCAAUGGUACAAAAGGGAAAAUUUUCAG